Molecule: RNA transcript, 3957 nt
Organism: Mizuhopecten yessoensis (Yesso scallop)
Lineage: Eukaryota; Metazoa; Mollusca; Bivalvia; Pectinida; Pectinidae
Exons: 6
Source: RefSeq, a predicted model, not a curated record
AUGAAGUAAAACAAACACAAUAAAAACAACGCAUCAUACAACCAUUUCGUCCUUUUACGUUUCAUCGUCAAUGUUAGGGGGCAAUCAGGUGGAAAUCAAAAUUAGUCUAAACCACUAUUGCAUAAGGUAGGAAGGUUCGUAACCACUCCAUUAUAUAUAUAACUUUUCAAAUAGGACAGGAGAACUGUUUAAUAUCAAAUUAUUGAUGAGAUAUGUGUGUGAAUUGUGAACCGUGUCACUACCCAAAAGAGGUAAAUAUAUAUAUAACUAUUCAAGUAUUACAGGAGAACUGUUUAAUAUCAAACUAUUGAUGAGAUAUGCGUGUGAAUUGUGAACCGUGUCACUACCCAAAAGAGGUAAUUACAUAACUAUUCAAAUAUGAAAGGUGAACUGCUUAAUAUCAAACUAUUGAUGAGAUAUGCGUGUGAAUUGUGAACCGUGUCACUACCCAAAAGAGGUAAAUAUAUAACUAUUCAAAUAUGACAGGUGAACUGCUUAAUAUCAAACUAUUGAUGAGAUAUGUGUGUGAAUUGUGAACCGUGUCACUACCCAAAAGAGGUAAUUAUAUAUAUAACUAUUCAAGUAUUACAGGAGAACUGUUUAAUAUCAAAUUAUUGAUUAGAUAUGUGUGUGAAUUGUGAACCGUGUCACUACCCAAAAGAGGUAAUUAUAGAACUAUUCAAAUAUGACAGGUGAACUGUUUAAUAUCAAAUUACUGAUGAGCUAUGUGUGUGAAUUGUGAACCGUGUCACUACCCAAAAGAGGUAACUGUGGCAAUCAAAGUUACGGCUAAACGAAUGACCUUUAUUGUUUCUAUCAUGGUCAUGAUACAGCCGAGCUACAGGUACAUAGUGUUCACAGACGUCACUAUCUGUCUAUCACGGCCAAGCUACAGGUACAUAGUGUUCACAGACGUCACUAUCUGUCUAUCACGGCCAAGCUACAGGUACAUAGUGUUCACAGACGUCACUAUCUGUCUAUCACGGCCAAGCUACAGGUACAUAGUGUUCACAGACGUCACUAUCUGUCUAUCACGGCCAAGCUACAGGUACAUAGUGUUCACAGACGUCACUAUCUGUCUAUCACGGCCAAGCUACAGGUACAUAGUGUUCACAGACGUCACUAUCUGUCUAUCACGGCCAAGCUACAGGUACAUAGUGUUCACAGACGUCACUAUCUGUCUAUCACGGCCAAGCUACAGGUACAUAGUGUUCACAGACGUCACUAUCUGUCUAUCACGGCCAAGCUACAGGUACAUAGUGUUCACAGACGUCACUAUCUGUCUAUCACGGCCAAGCUACAGGUACAUAGUGUUCACAGACGUCACUAUCUGUCUAUCACGGCCAAGCUACAGGUACAUAGUGUUCACAGACGUCACUAUCUGUCUAUCACGGCCAAGCUACAGGUACAUAGUGUUCACAGACGUCACUAUCUGUCUAUCACGGCCAAGCUACAGGUACAUAGUGUUCACAGACGUCACUAUCUGUCUAUCACGGCCAAGCUACAGGUACAUAGUGUUCACAGACGUCACUAUCUGUCUAUCACGGCCAAGCUACAGGUACAUAGUGUUCACAGACGUCACUAUCUGUCUAUCACGGCCAAGCUACAGGUACAUAGUGUUCACAGACGUCACUAUCUGUCUAUCACGGCCAAGCUACAGGUACAUAGUGUUCACAGACGUCACUAUCUGUCUAUCACGGCCAAGCUACAGGUACAUAGUGUUCACAGACGUCACUAUCUGUCUAUCACGGCCAAGCUACAGGUACAUAGUGUUCACAGACGUCACUAUCUGUCUAUCACGGCCAAGCUACAGGUACAUAGUGUUCACAGACGUCACUAUCUGUCUAUCACGGCCAAGCUACAGGUACAUAGUGUUCACAGACGUCACUAUCUGUCUAUCACGGCCAAGCUACAGGUACAUAGUGUUCACAGACGUCACUAUCUGUCUAUCACGGCCAAGCUACAGGUACAUAGUGUUCACAGACGUCACUAUCUGUCUAUCACGGCCAAGCUACAGGUACAUAGUGUUCACAGACGUCACUAUCUGUCUAUCACGGCCAAGCUACAGGUACAUAGUGUUCACAGACGUCACUAUCUGUCUAUCACGGCCAAGCUACAGGUACAUAGUGUUCACAGACGUCACUAUCUGUCUAUCACGGCCAAGCUACAGGUACAUAGUGUUCACAGACGUCACUAUCUGUCUAUCACGGCCAAGCUACAGGUACAUAGUGUUCACAGACGUCACUAUCUGUCUAUCACGGCCAAGCUACAGGUACAUAGUGUUCACAGACGUCACUAUCUGUCUAUCACGGCCAAGCUACAGGUACAUAGUGUUCACAGACGUCACUAUCUGUCUAUCACGGCCAAGCUACAGGUACAUAGUGUUCACAGACGUCACUAUCUGUCUAUCACGGCCAAGCUACAGGUACAUAGUGUUCACAGACGUCACUAUCUGUCUAUCACGGCCAAGCUACAGGUACAUAGUGUUCACAGACGUCACUAUCUGUCUAUCACGGCCAAGCUACAGGUACAUAGUGUUCACAGACGUCACUAUCUGUCUAUCACGGCCAAGCUACAGGUACAUAGUGUUCACAGACGUCACUAUCUGUCUAUCACGGCCAAGCUACAGGUACAUAGUGUUCACAGACGUCACUAUCUGUCUAUCACGGCCAAGCUACAGGUACAUAGUGUUCACAGACGUCACUAUCUGUCUAUCACGGCCAAGCUACAGGUACAUAGUGUUCACAGACGUCACUAUCUGUCUAUCACGGCCAAGCUACAGGUACAUAGUGUUCACAGACGUCACUAUCUGUCUAUCACGGCCAAGCUACAGGUACAUAGUGUUCACAGACGUCACUAUCUGUCUAUCACGGCCAAGCUACAGGUACAUAGUGUUCACAGACGUCACUAUCUGUCUAUCACGGCCAAGCUACAGGUACAUAGUGUUCACAGACGUCACUAUCUGUCUAUCACGGCCAACGCGGAGUACUCUAAUUGACAGGUUGCAAGUAUAAACUCACAAGGAAAACACACACUUGUGUGACAAAUGGAGGGGGAAUUGAACUGCUCCGGAUACCAAGCUUGAUGUAGAGUUCUGUCCAAGUUUACCGGUAUAUAUUUUACUUUUGUGUUGGUGGAAAAUCCGAACCAAACAUAUCGUUGGAUUGCAGAGUGAUUAGGAACAUAAUAGGCUGUAAAAGGAAUUUGUCCAUUUUCAUCUGGAAAGGUUAAGCAGUGGGCAUCUUACCUGGUCAUCCCUAGGAUAUAUCGCUGACUUUUUAGAAAUCAUAUCACCACAGAUGGAUGUUUGGACCGCCUCGUUCGCCGCUAUAGCAGCAUUAUUGUACUUAUGGUAUCAUAAACGUAAUAUUCGAAGUCUGGAGGAAAGCGGUAUACCAAUGAUACCGUCCCUACCCAUCAUCGGCAGUAUCCACAAGCUCAUCGGGAAGCUGGACGUCUUAUGCAGACACUUUCCGUAAAAACAUCUUACAGAAUAGCUAAACCGCUGGCACAAAAUAUGUUAUUGGUUGAAGAGCUUUCCUGACCCAAAAAAAGGCCUAAGGACCUAUUUACAUGUCUGUCUUAAAAAGCGAAAAACAAACUUUAUUGCAAUUUUCCGAAGAAAUGAUGGGACUAAUACAAUCGGAGGGAGCUUGGCUGAAAGAAUACGGUAACGUGAUAGGGUGGUACAAUGGUUAUGUCUUAAACGUCGUCACAGCAGACAGAGACAUGAUCAACGAAAUAUUGGUGAAAAAAUUUAAUAUCUUCUCUAACAGAUGGGUAAGUAUUCAAAACGGCAAUUUUUCUCAGACACGUAGCUCAUAUUUAAUAUCUUCUCUAACAGAUGGGUAAGUAUACAUAACGGCAAUGUUUCUCAGACACGUAGCUCAUAUUUAUUAUCUUCUCUAACAGAUGGGUAAGUAUUCAUAACGGCAAUGUUUCUCAGACACCUAGCUC